UACCAGCACCCCGAGUUGUCGGGACGUUUAUUGGGCCUAAAGCAUCCGUAGCCGGUUCUACAAGUCUUCCGUUAAAUCCACCUGCUUAACAGAUGGGCUGCGGAAGAUACUAUGGAGCUAGGAGGCGGGAGAGGCAAGCGGUACUCGAUGGGUAGGGGUAAAAUCCGUUGAUCCAUUGAAGACCACCAGUGGCGAAGGCGGCUUGCCAGAACGCGCUCGACGGUGAGGGAUGAAAGCUGGGGGAGCAAACCGG
RNAcentral lists this ribosomal RNA (253 nucleotides) under uncultured bacterium. RNAcentral's name for it is "partial 16S ribosomal RNA". It matches the Rfam family "Archaeal small subunit ribosomal RNA", at positions 474 to 727 of the family's 1478-position model. The record is from RNAcentral.